GACGAACGCUGGCGGCGUGCUUAACACAUGCAAGUCGAACGGAAAGGCCCUGCUUUUGUGGGGUGCUCGAGUGGCGAACGGGUGAGUAACACGUGAGUAACCUGCCCUUGACUUUGGGAUAACUUCAGGAAACUGGGGCUAAUACCGGAUAGGAGCUCCUGCUGCAUGGUGGGGGUUGGAAAGUUUCGGCGGUUGGGGCUGGUCUGGCGGCUUAUCAGCUUGUUGGUGGGGUAGUGGCUUACCAAGGCUUUGACGGGUAGCCGGCCUGAGAGGGUGGCCGGCCACAAUGGGACUGAGGUACGGCCCAGACUCCAACGGGCGGCAGCAGUGGGGAACAUUGCGCAGUGGGCGGGAGCCUGAUGCAGCAACGCCGCGUGCGGGAUGACGGCCUUCGGGUUGUAAACCGCUUUCGCCUGUGACGAAGCGUGAGUGACGGUAAUGGGUAAAGAAGCACCGGCUAACUACGUG
Molecule: ribosomal RNA, 468 nt
Filed under: uncultured bacterium
Lineage: Bacteria
Description: partial 16S ribosomal RNA
Rfam family: Bacterial small subunit ribosomal RNA
Source: RNAcentral